UGAUUUUUAUGAUUAAUAUGAUUAUCCUGAUGAGCGAAGAUUUCAGGGAAGAUGUUUGCGUAUAUCUUCGCUCAUCAGGAUAAUCAUAUUAAUCAUAA
RNAcentral lists this microRNA precursor (98 nucleotides) under Chitinophaga niastensis. Its description in RNAcentral is "microRNA mir-598". The record is from RNAcentral. Lineage: Bacteria; Pseudomonadati; Bacteroidota; Chitinophagia; Chitinophagales; Chitinophagaceae.